This 253-nucleotide ribosomal RNA is filed under the name uncultured bacterium. RNAcentral describes it as "partial 16S ribosomal RNA". It matches the Rfam family "Archaeal small subunit ribosomal RNA", at positions 474 to 727 of the family's 1478-position model. The record is from RNAcentral.
UACCAGCAUCCCGAGUGGUCGGGACGAUUAUUGGGCCUAAAGCAUCCGUAGCCGGUUCUACAAGUCUUCCGUUAAAUCCACCUGCUUAACAGAUGGGCUGCGGAGGAUACUAUAGAGCUAGGAGGCGGGAGAGGCAAGCGGUACUUAGUGGGUAGGGGUAAAAUCCGUUGAUCCAUUGAAGACCACCAGUGGCGAAGGCGGCUUGCCAGAACGCACUCGACGGUGAGGGAUGAAAGCUGGGGGAGCAAACCGG